Molecule: long non-coding RNA, 517 nt
Organism: Coccinella septempunctata (seven-spotted ladybird)
Lineage: Eukaryota; Metazoa; Arthropoda; Insecta; Coleoptera; Coccinellidae
Exons: 2
Source: RefSeq, a predicted model, not a curated record
CUGUGUUUUCAAUCGAUAUUUCAUUCUCCUCACAAACAAUUUAAGAGAAAACUAGGUUUUUAGAAUCGACUGCUACAUGCUAAUAAAGCGAAAGUGAUUUAUUUUUGGAAAUAAUAGACCAAUAAAGGAGUUUCUUUUUUAUUUCAUGCAUGUCCGAAGAAAUUACUUAACUCCAAUCUGGAUUCAAUAUUAGGAAGAGGAGAGAUGUAAAUCAUUCAGUAAGCCGUGUCACAUCGGCAAACUCAAAACUCAAUAUUUUCUGUUGAUCAGUGUCACAGAAAUCUAACACUGGAAAGCCACACGAUAAAGAAACAGGAGCAGUAAAAUACAGUGUCCUUUCUCUAUGGUAAAAUAUUACUGCCAGGAGUGCCAGAGAAGGGCAACUAAACCACCUGAUGCAAAACCUAUCAAAAUAAUUGAAAAAAAAAUUGUAAAUGAUUAAUCCAUCAUAUAAAUAUUUCCCCAGCAGGAAAUUUCAUAUUAUUUGUGAAAGUAUCAAUAAACAUACUUAAAAUUA